Long non-coding RNA from Calypte anna (Anna's hummingbird), 1330 nucleotides. RefSeq lists it as uncharacterized. The transcript is spliced from 7 exons. The record is from RefSeq and is a predicted model, not a curated record. NCBI's taxonomy places the organism in Eukaryota, Metazoa, Chordata, Aves, Apodiformes, Trochilidae.
CCCUUCCUUCCCCUUCCUUCCCCUUCCUUCCCCUCCUUUUUUCCCCAAGAAAGCACAAACCUUUAUCACCUAAAACCCAAAGUUCCACUUCAGCCUUUCCUUUUUCCUUCUAAACUCAUUUCCUCUUGCCGUGUUUUUCCAGCAGCCACCACGAAUCAUUCCACGCCAGGAUCAGAUGGAUUUUAGGAUUUCCGUGGGUGGUUGGAACACCCAGAAGUCACCAGCAGAGGGAGAUCCAACCCCGGCAAUCCCACGACCUGUGCGGGAACAACCCCGCACCCCGCAUGCUGAGGAGUGUGUCAGAAAAAUCCUCAGCACAAACUGCAGCUGGUGCUUCCGUGGGCCAAGGAGGACCAGUGGGAGAUGAUGAUGUGUGUGUGUCCCCCAUCACUCUGCUUCUGCUCAAGUGUUACACCUGGAUCCCUCUAUUCUCUAUGCCAGAUCCAUGCAACAUAAAAUAUUUGGAGCUGUGUGUAUGGAAUCUGAAUUCUUUCACACAUUGAUUUGAAAAUCAUCUUCCUUAGAGACCACUUGUGCUUGCCAAGAGGAAUUAAGUGCCAGAGCAGCUCCACAGCACUGGGAAGGAAAUAAAACCCUGCUUUGGAGGAGCCAAGUUCUGCAUUUCCUGAGCACCUCGUGGCAUGGGAGCACCAGAAACACAAAACUGGUGGGAAAAGGUGGUGGUGGUGAUCUGCAUGGAGCCCAGGAGAGGGACAGAAUUCCCUGGAUGUCCCCUGCAGGGAUCCUAAAUUAUGGCUUCAUAGCCUUUAAGAUGUCUCAACCAAGCAGUGUUAUUCUCUAGGAAAAAACCAUCCCUCUGUCUCCCAGGCACCCUCUGCAAAUGGAAUCCAUAGGAUUGAAAACCUGGAACAGAUGCCAAGCAUUUAAUUCUUCCCAAAAAAUGGUUGUAAGAAAUUCCACCAAGAAAAAACUCAGCUUUAAGGAAAGCCCAAAGGAAAAUGGAAUGAAAAAAAAUCUGGAGGUCUUCUGGAAGUCUUCCUGGCAGGAUGGGAAGGUUGGAAGCCUGGGAGGAUGCUGCCUGUGGUUGCUGGUGGCUCCAGAGGAAACAAACUCUGCUCAGCUCCAGAGGAGUUAAUCCUAACCUUUUCCCAAGGCUGGUUUGUGCACUACCCUGGCUCGAUGUUUUCCUUCUUCAGCUUUACUUGGUAAACACAGUGCCUUGUUCCAAGGGAAAAAAUAAAAUAAAAUAAAAUAAGGGCAGAGGUUGUGGACAGAGACCUGGAGAGCACAGUGUGAUUGCUCCAGCCUGGGCCAGCAAAGGUCAUUUGAGACCUUGGGUGUUUUUGUGGGCUGGGAGGUGGCUGGCACC